Molecule: ribosomal RNA, 492 nt
Filed under: uncultured bacterium
Lineage: Bacteria
Description: partial 16S ribosomal RNA
Rfam family: Bacterial small subunit ribosomal RNA
Source: RNAcentral
AGUGAACGCUGGCGGUAGGCCUAACACAUGCAAGUCGAACGGCAGCACAGUAAGAGCUUGCUCUUACGGGUGGCGAGUGGCGGACGGGUGAGGAAUACAUCGGAAUCUAAUUUGUCGUGGGGGAUAACGUGGGGACACUUAUGCUAAUACCGCAUACGACCUACGGGCGAAAUCAAGGGAGCUUCGGACCUUUGGCGACUGUAUUAGACGGUUCCGGAUUGCAUAGUUGGGUGGGUAAAGGAACACCAAGGCGACGAUCCGUAGCUGGCCUGAGAGGAUGAUCAGCCACACUGGAACUGAGACACGGUCCAGACUCCUACGGGAGGCAGCAGUGGGGAAUAUUGCACAAUGGGCGAAAGCCUGACCCAGCCAUGCCGCGUGGGUGAAGAAGGCCUUCGGAUUGUAAAACCCUUUUGUUGGGAAAGAACAGCAGCAGAUUAAUCCCCCGCUGUUCUGACGGUACCCAAAGAAUAAGCACCGGCUAACUUCGUG